RNAcentral lists this ribosomal RNA (248 nucleotides) under uncultured Lachnospiraceae bacterium. RNAcentral's name for it is "partial 16S ribosomal RNA". It matches the Rfam family "Bacterial small subunit ribosomal RNA", at positions 524 to 771 of the family's 1533-position model. Lineage: Bacteria; Bacillati; Bacillota; Clostridia; Lachnospirales; Lachnospiraceae. The record is from RNAcentral.
UACGUAGGGGGCAAGCGUUAUCCGGAUUUACUGGGUGUAAAGGGAGCGUAGACGGCGCGGCAAGUCCGGAGUGAAAGCCCAUGGCUCAACCGUGGGACUGCUCUGGAAACUGUCGUGCUCGAGUGCGGGAGGGGCAGGCGGAAUUCCUGGUGUAGCGGUGAAAUGCGUAGAUAUCAGGAGGAACACCGGCGGCGAAGGCGGCCUGCUGGACCGUAACUGACGUUGAGGCUCGAAAGCGUGGGGAGCAA